CACGGGGGUUGCGAGCGUUGUCCGGAUUUACUGGGCGUAAAGGGAGCGUAGGCGGACUUUUAAGUGAGAUGUGAAAUACCCGGGCUCAACUUGGGUGCUGCAUUUCAAACUGGAAGUCUAGAGUGCAGGAGAGGAGAAUGGAAUUCCUAGUGUAGCGGUGAAAUGCGUAGAGAUUAGGAAGAACACCAGUGGCGAAGGCGAUUCUCUGGACUGUAACUGACGCUGAGGCUCGAAAGCGUGGGGAGCAAACAGG
This 253-nucleotide ribosomal RNA is filed under the name uncultured bacterium. RNAcentral describes it as "partial 16S ribosomal RNA". It matches the Rfam family "Bacterial small subunit ribosomal RNA", at positions 524 to 776 of the family's 1533-position model. The record is from RNAcentral.